GCCAUUUAUUUUGUUUUGUCAACGUCAGAAUAAUUGUUUUUUAACAACAUAAUUUAAUAUUUAUUUCAAAUAUUGGCUUGUUACAAUUUCCUUCAGGAGACCAAGCUCCUCCUGAUGUUCCCUGUUACAUUCUACUUAUCACUCAUAUUAAAUAAAUCACUUAUAAUGACUAUUCAUAUGCUUUCAAAUGGUUGCUAUAACAUUACUUUUAAUUGUCAAACAGAUUCUUCUAUUGUACUCAUUGAUAAAACAAUGACAUUGACAUUUACGUCAGUAUAAUUGUUUGUAAACAUUAUAGUUCAAAAAAUAUUACACACUACACUAUGAAACAACUGCUAUCAGUAACUGCUACAUAUCGUACGUACACACCAUUGAUAUUUAAAAUCAGGCCGUCUUACGCUUCAAUGUCGGGGCCAUGCAUCACAAAAACUUUUAUGCAACAACGGCAUAGACUGUAUAGAAAGGCACGAUAUUAUCCAUAAUCAAGAACAAUCAUAAAAGUAUUGUCAAUACAAAAAAAGAAAAAUUCAAAACUAGAAGCCCAACAUAAAUUAACAAACGUCUUUCAUAUAAAUAGCUUGAUUGAACUAUACGAUACGCAAAAACUGU
Molecule: long non-coding RNA, 609 nt
Filed under: Mytilus galloprovincialis (Mediterranean mussel)
Lineage: Eukaryota; Metazoa; Mollusca; Bivalvia; Mytilida; Mytilidae
Source: RNAcentral